CACGUAGGGCGCGAGCGUUGUCCGGAAUUAUUGGGCGUAAAGAGCUCGUAGGCGGCCUGUUGCGUCCGCUGUGAAAGCCCGGGGCUUAACCCCGGGUCGGCAGUGGAUACGGGCAGGCUAGAGGUAGGUAGGGGAGAAUGGAAUUCCCGGUGUAGCGGUGAAAUGCGUAGAUAUCAGGAGGAACACCUGUGGCGAAAGCGGCUCACUGGACCACAACUGACGCUGAGGCGCGAAAGCUAGGGGAGCAAACAGG
Molecule: ribosomal RNA, 253 nt
Filed under: uncultured bacterium
Lineage: Bacteria
Description: partial 16S ribosomal RNA
Rfam family: Bacterial small subunit ribosomal RNA
Source: RNAcentral